AUACGUAGGGGGCGAGCGUUGUCCGGAAUGAUUGGGCGUAAAGGGCGCGUAGGCGGCCCGGUAAGUCUGGAGUGAAAGUCCUGUUUUUAAGAUGGGAAUUGCUUUGGAUACUGUCGGGCUUGAGUGCAGGAGAGGUAAGUGGAAUUCCCAGUGUAGCGGUGCAAUGCGUAGAGAUUGGGAGGAACACCAGUGGCGAAGGCGACUUACUGGACUGUAACUGACGCUGAGGCGCGAAAGUGUGGGGAGCAAACAGGAUUAGAUACCCUGGUAGUCCACACUGUAAACGAUGAAUGCUAGGUGUAGGGGGUAUCGACCCCUUCUGUGCCGCAGUCAACACAAUAAGCAUUCCGCCUGGGGAGUACGGCCGCAAGGUUGAAACUCAAAGGAAUUGACGGGG
This 397-nucleotide ribosomal RNA is filed under the name uncultured bacterium. RNAcentral's name for it is "partial 16S ribosomal RNA". It matches the Rfam family "Bacterial small subunit ribosomal RNA", at positions 523 to 918 of the family's 1533-position model. The record is from RNAcentral.